UGGGGAAUUUUGGACAAUGGGCGAAAGCCUGAUCCAGCAAUGCCGCGUGUGUGAAGAAGGCCUUCGGGUUGUAAAGCACUUUUGUCCGGAAAGAAAUCCUUGGCUCUAAUACAGUCGGGGGAUGACGGUACCGGAAGAAUAAGCACCGGCUAACUACGUGCCAGCAGCCGCGGUAAUACGUAGGGUGCAAGCGUUAAUCGGAAUUACUGGGCGUAAAGCGUGCGCAGGCGGUUUGCUAAGACCGAUGUGAAAUCCCCGGGCUCAACCUGGGAACUGCAUUGGUGACUGGCAGGCUAGAGUAUGGCAGAGGGGGGUAGAAUUCCACGUGUAGCAGUGAAAUGCGUAGAGAUGUGGAGGAAUACCGAUGGGCGAAGGCAGCCCCCUGGGCCAAUACUGACGCUCAUGCACGAAAGCGUGGGGAGCAAACAGGAUUAGAUACCCUGGUAGUCCACGCCCUAAACGAUGUCAACUAGUUGUUGGGGAUUCAUUUCCUUAGUAACGUAGCUAACGCGUGAAGUUGACCGCCUGGGGAGUACGGUCGCAAGAUUAAAACUUAAAUGAAUUGACGGGGUCAUAGCUG
Molecule: ribosomal RNA, 580 nt
Filed under: uncultured bacterium
Lineage: Bacteria
Description: partial 16S ribosomal RNA
Rfam family: Bacterial small subunit ribosomal RNA
Source: RNAcentral